GAAAAAACUGAGGUUUUAACCCUUUUUUCUUUGUUUUACAGUCUGAAAAUGGUUUGGCUGUUGGCAGUUGGGGGGCAGUUGUGUCCCUUUAUGGAAAACUAUCAUCUUGAAAGCUUGCAUCAGAGCUUACCUUCUGGCAAUUCGGACUUCAAAGAACGCAUAUAUUGCCGCUCUGAUUGCAUCGGCUGAGUCGCGCCCAGCCGCCUAGUUCAGAAUAACCCGCUCCCUCUUGAAAGGGAGGGAUGCGGGCAACCCUUUACAAGGUAGAGCUGAGGAGUUUGUCCAAUUUCUCACGGAUAAAUUUGCUCAUCUUCGGACGGACCUGGACUCCAAUUGCUCAGAGCCAGCCGAGCAUAACUCUGGACCGCCUUGAGCAAUUUCAACCAUGAUUCUGGCAGGAAUUGGGUGAAAACAAUUUCCCUCCACUUUGAAAAUAGAUGUUGAAUACAUUUUGGAAGGGAAACGAUUCUUCCUCACUAACCAUUCCAAAUAAAUCACCACGAGGAAGCAGAAGAAUCGCCCACGAUGUGUUGGAAUCCUCUAGGAAUGAGUAAACGGUGCCUCACGUUCAUUUAUCAAAUUGGUAACUUCAAGUACAUUUCUUGUCUGAAUUAAGUGAAGUUCAGGGAUGUUCCAAUUAACAGAUGCUCAACUCUUGAACCGAACAGGAUGACAAUUUAUGUACCCACUUGGUGACGUGAGCUAAACCGGUGGCAUUUGCCUUAUGUGUUGGGUAUCAAAACUUUGCAUAAAAUAAAAUAUCAUGCGGUAUAUUUGUGAGUUCUUUUUGCAUUCUUCAGCUGACCUGACUAU
Thamnophis elegans (Western terrestrial garter snake) is the source of this 813-nucleotide long non-coding RNA. RefSeq lists it as uncharacterized. The transcript is spliced from 3 exons. NCBI's taxonomy places the organism in Eukaryota, Metazoa, Chordata, Lepidosauria, Squamata, Natricidae. The record is from RefSeq and is a predicted model, not a curated record.